Molecule: small nucleolar RNA, 239 nt
Organism: Rattus norvegicus (Norway rat)
Lineage: Eukaryota; Metazoa; Chordata; Mammalia; Rodentia; Muridae
Gene: Snord17
Product: small nucleolar RNA, C/D box 17
Source: Ensembl
GUGAAAUGAUGAUUCUGUUUAUCCAUUCGCUGAGUACGCUGCACUGACCUUCUUCCCAGUCCCAGUUCCUGUUCUGGGAGCUUGGGGCUGAGUAGCCUCCAACCCUGCAAUCUGCAGUGUUCUACUGUGGAUUGCUUGUGUGUUGGCAGACUACUACUGGUAAGAAUGGCUAGUGUCGGCAGGGAUGGCUCCCUCUCUGGGUUCCAUCUCACCAAGAUGAGUGGUGCAAAUCUGAUCAC